AGGAUUGUGACCUUAUACAAAUCGUCUGUUUGUAAUAGGUUCUUGUAGCCCAACAGCCUUAUAGGCUCAAAAGCAAAAGGUAGAUUUUAAGGGAUGCAAAACAAAAUUCGCAAAGGGACGAAAUUUGGAAGAGAAAUUUGGACGAGAUGUAAAUUUUGUUGUGCUAGAAUCAAUGAGAUGGGUAAUGAUUUGUGCAAAUUUGGAGGAAAAACUUGCGAAGAGGAUUUUUGCUACACAUCAUGCAAGCUUUGC
This 252-nucleotide long non-coding RNA is filed under the name Amborella trichopoda. RNAcentral's name for it is "long non-coding RNA (ATRI_LNC004308)". Lineage: Eukaryota; Viridiplantae; Streptophyta; Magnoliopsida; Amborellales; Amborellaceae. The record is from RNAcentral.